GGGCACGUGGCGUAGUGGUAUCGCGUUUGCUUCGCACUAGCAUCAGUUCUCUGAUAGCGACGAUUGUAAAAGGUCUCCGGUUCAAUCCCGGACGUGUCCA
This 100-nucleotide transfer RNA is filed under the name Cephalotrichum gorgonifer. Its description in RNAcentral is "transfer RNA-Ala(CGC)". It matches the Rfam family "tRNA". Rfam says of the family: Transfer RNA (tRNA) molecules are approximately 80 nucleotides in length. Their secondary structure includes four short double-helical elements and three loops (D, anti-codon, and T loops). Lineage: Eukaryota; Fungi; Ascomycota; Sordariomycetes; Microascales; Microascaceae. The record is from RNAcentral.